AACCCAUGAUGUGGGAACUGCCUAAGAAGGUCCUUGAACCUUUCAUGUGCUUCAAAUAGUGUUUUAAACUCUCUUUGCUUGAAUACUGAGAUUUCUUGUCUUAUCUU
Molecule: small nucleolar RNA, 107 nt
Organism: Dioscorea cayenensis subsp. rotundata (Guinea yam)
Lineage: Eukaryota; Viridiplantae; Streptophyta; Magnoliopsida; Dioscoreales; Dioscoreaceae
Source: RefSeq, a predicted model, not a curated record